Molecule: ribosomal RNA, 253 nt
Filed under: uncultured bacterium
Lineage: Bacteria
Description: partial 16S ribosomal RNA
Rfam family: Bacterial small subunit ribosomal RNA
Source: RNAcentral
UACGGAGGGUGCGAGCGUUGUCCGGAAUCACUGGGCGUAAGGGGCGCGUAGGCGGCCUGAUAAGUAGGGGGUGAAAUCCUGCGGCUUAACCGCAGGGCUGCCUUCUAAACUGUCAGGCUCGAGCACAGUAGAGGCAGGUGGAAUUCCCGGUGUAGCGGUGGAAUGCGUAGAGAUCGGGAAGAACAUCAGUGGCGAAGGCGGCCUGCUGGGCUGUUGCUGACGCUGAGGCGCGACAGCGUGGGGAGCAAACAGG